RNAcentral lists this ribosomal RNA (253 nucleotides) under uncultured bacterium. RNAcentral describes it as "partial 16S ribosomal RNA". It matches the Rfam family "Bacterial small subunit ribosomal RNA", at positions 524 to 776 of the family's 1533-position model. The record is from RNAcentral.
UACGUAGGGACCGAGCGUUGUCCGGAAUCAUUGGGCGUAAAGAGCGUGUAGGCGGCUCGCUAAGUCUUGCGUGAAAUCUCGGGGCUCAACCCCGAGCGGUCGUGAGAAACUGGCGGGCUAGAGUGCGGGAGAGGAGAGUGGAAUUCCUGGUGUAGCGGUGAAAUGCGCAGAUAUCAGGAAGAACACCCGUGGCGAAGGCGGCUCUCUGGACCGGAACUGACGCUGAGGCGCGAAAGCGUGGGGAGCAAACGGG